RNAcentral lists this long non-coding RNA (230 nucleotides) under Lathyrus oleraceus (garden pea). RNAcentral's name for it is "Pisum sativum (pea) long non-coding RNA (PSAT_LNC032009)". The record is from RNAcentral. Lineage: Eukaryota; Viridiplantae; Streptophyta; Magnoliopsida; Fabales; Fabaceae.
UAUCUCUUCUGUCUUUGUUUUCCAGUCUUGGUAAUAAAGUUUAUCUCUUGAGAUCCAAUGCUUCGUGUAAGCCAUUGAAUCAAAAAUAGUACAUUUAUUUCCAGGGUGGAAUUUUUCUUUGUAAUUUGUUAUUGCGUUUCUUUUUGUUUUUUAUUUUUUACUUAAGACUUGUAUGUGCAUAUUCUUAGGUGAACUUGACGUAUUCUUAUCCUCUGAUUGUAUAUUCAAAU